GACGAUUGCAACAGCCCCAGGAGGCACCUCAGCCUCUGUCCCUGCAGCAGGGAGGGACCAGCGCCAGCCCCAGCAGCCCCACGCACAUGGGGCACUCUCGGGUUGGCCCCGGGCACUUGUGCCAGCAGCAACUGGGGCCUGUCCCACCCACCAGCACUGCUAUAAAUCCAGCGUGGUUGGGGCAAAGCAGCAUUCCCUGACCCCAGGGGCAUCUGGAAACAGCCAUUCCUGUUGGGGUUGCUGCUGCCUGAGCACCCACAUCUUUGCCAGGGAGCCCUGUGAAGAGCCGCGAGAGGCAGCAGCCAUGAAGAUCCUGUUCCUGCUCUUCCCCCUGAUCCUCCUGCUGGUGCAGGGUGCUGCAGGGGAUAUGCUUAGAUGCACGCUCCAACGGGGAUACUGUGCCUUUGGGCCUUGUCGCGACCCCUCAACAGCUAUUGGAAGAUGUUCACCAGUCAGUGAGUGCUGCAAAAGAUUCUGGGCUUGACACCCUGAAAUUCCCAAGCAGGACAUUCCCUCGCUUCUGGCUCCUGGACCCAUCUCCUGAUGUCCCCUCCUGUCCCUGCCUGUGCCGUGCCCAGCUGCGGUGACAGCAGCAGUGGCAGCUGCUCCUGCUGGGCGCUGCUGGGCUGGAGCCCUCUGCUGCCAGCGCCGGUGUCUCUGGGGCAGGGGCUGCUUUUCGCGGCUUGAAUAAAGACUUGGAGCACGUUGGCAUUGCAGGGCUGGGC
Long non-coding RNA from Corvus moneduloides (New Caledonian crow), 725 nucleotides. NCBI's taxonomy places the organism in Eukaryota, Metazoa, Chordata, Aves, Passeriformes, Corvidae. The record is from Ensembl.